Molecule: unclassified non-coding RNA, 245 nt
Filed under: Hevea brasiliensis (rubber tree)
Lineage: Eukaryota; Viridiplantae; Streptophyta; Magnoliopsida; Malpighiales; Euphorbiaceae
Source: RNAcentral
GAAAGAAGAUGAGAAAAAGAAUCCAAAUGAUCAGAUUGCAGAGCUUGUUAAAGCUUACAAGGCCUACAAUCCCUACCUGACACAAUACUACCGUGUGGUGACCGUUGAAGAGAACCCAAAUGCUUGUAUUGUACUCUGAACUGUUCUAUAUGAAUUGGUGAGUUCUUGAAGCCCGCUGGAAACAACCCAGAAGAGGGGUGGGGUUGCUUGCUUUGUAUAGUUGAUGCUGGUGGGUUGAUUGAAAA